Molecule: unclassified non-coding RNA, 270 nt
Filed under: Hevea brasiliensis (rubber tree)
Lineage: Eukaryota; Viridiplantae; Streptophyta; Magnoliopsida; Malpighiales; Euphorbiaceae
Source: RNAcentral
CACGCGCAGGCUCAUCCACGCCGCCGACAGCAUGGCCUCGUCGUUGAAGAAUUCGAUGUACCAGCGCAGCGACCAGCCGCCCCACACCGUCACGAGCCGCGAGGCGGUGAACGAAUAGAUCACAAGGAUCGGCAGAUACAGGAACGCCAGCCCGAGCGCGACCGAAGCGAGAUUGAAGCCGGAGAAACGGGUUUGCCGCGCAGCCAUCAGUGCUGCUCCAGAUGGCGGCGUUGCAGUUUCUCGUAGAUCAGCAGCGGCACCAGCAGCACG